RNAcentral lists this long non-coding RNA (1203 nucleotides) under Piliocolobus tephrosceles (Ugandan red Colobus). RNAcentral's name for it is "lncRNA (ENSPTEG00000026455.1)". The record is from RNAcentral. Lineage: Eukaryota; Metazoa; Chordata; Mammalia; Primates; Cercopithecidae.
GCACCAAGAGAAAAAGCAGAGGUAUUUCUAGUUCUGCAGAUGUCUGCCAAUGCUUUUCUCUGCCUUUGACCAUCAUCAUAGUAAUCCCAAUGAUAUAAUCAUCAAUAAUAAUAAUGUUAGUCAUAAAACAAGGGUGGCUUUUUAAGAAAGGUUGGGAAGUUGUUUCAAACCAUGCAGGGCUGGUGUCACAGGAAAAUGUCAAACUUUCCACUUUAACUUCCGUUUUUCAGGCACAAACACUUCACUUUGGGGGAAAUCUUGGCGCUAAAAGGGCUCAACCUGAGAACAAACUGCAAGUGUGCACCCUGCCUCUUUUCUGCUCAUCUGUCAGCGCCUACCUGGACUCGUUAAAAAUACAGAACUCUGGGUCCAGCCAGACUGAAAAUCAGCUCUCCCCCAGCCAACAGUCCGAGCCUGGAUUUCCACGAAGGCACGCGGCUCUCUUUACAGAUUGCAGAUUUACAUGCCACGUGAGGAAGCAGUGGGCAGAAAUGCAGAAGAGUGGGCACGAAGCAGAAGCCAGCAUGCAAAGACCCGGGGAAGAACUCGCUUGUCACGGGAAAGAGCAAGUGCCAAGGCCAUGAGGUGGCAUGGAGCUGGGCGUAAUACAGGAAGCAGAAGGUCUUGGGGGCUGAACUUGGGUGAAGCCCGGGCAAAGCGGUUGUGACCGAAGCUGGUGCAGACACCUGGCAGGGCCUUGCAGGCUUUGGAGUGCUUCCAGAGGUCCCUCAGAGGAGCAAAUGGAAACUGUACCAUCGCCCAGCAAGUUCUGGCAGACAGGCCUCCAGUGCUAUAAGGAAGGUUGGGAAGCAUUGUGUUGGGGGCGAUCCUCCCGGGCCCCUGAGCACCUGGCCCACCAAUGCUCGCUCCUGGUGCAGUGGCCCCCUCCACGGAAUCCUUUGGGCACCAUGUGGUGCUGAUGGGUACUGGAGCUUGGUGGCAACAAGCCCCAACUGCUAACUUGAGAAUGAAGAACAAAUAUUUGACUUUUUUCCGCCCUUUUCUCCCUCCUCUCGCUGUCAUUUUAUACAGCCCUGUUUAGACUGGAUGCUGGUUAAUGGGCGACCUUUGCCCUUUGGCUAAAAGCUGUGAUCAGGAAAUCCCACCUCCCAUUAAUACGGGUUUUGUUCAGGAUCCCAGGAACGCCUAGCUCACAGCUUCUGCUCUGCAAACGCAUUGUCCGCCAGGCUUAGAAAAAGAAAA